This is a long non-coding RNA of Oncorhynchus nerka (sockeye salmon), 2997 nucleotides long. RefSeq lists it as uncharacterized. The record is from RefSeq and is a predicted model, not a curated record. Lineage: Eukaryota; Metazoa; Chordata; Actinopteri; Salmoniformes; Salmonidae. The transcript is spliced from 3 exons.
AAUUGAGUCCCACAGUAUGAGUCAUAAUACCCAUAAAACCUAGCGGUCAAACACAGAAAUGGUUCCAUGUUAAUCACGUUAAAAGGUGACUUUUAUCAAUAUAUAACACCCCCCCCCCCAAAUUACAAAAAUAAAUAAAUAGAAUUGACAAUGUGGCUGUCAUGCAGAACAACAAAUUCAUGUCUGAAGCUUCACGUUACUCACCAGGGUUAUGAUGAUCUGGAUGAGACUGCCAAAUCGAGGUUACAUUAGCUGUCUAUUUGUCUAGCCAUUUAAAUGCAUGAGAAAUUCAUAAAAACGAGUUGAGCUUUCUUUGACUUUUAUAAACCACCAGUCUAGCUUGCUAGGUAACUAGCUAGAUAAGCUAGAGCUAGGUGUUCUUGAUCAUGUUUGUGGGUAGCCUAUUUCUAGUACUGCUUGACUUGUAGCUACCCUAGCUAGCUGUAUGAUUUUAGUCUGUCUUUUUGAGCGGUUUCAGAGAUGGACUGAUUAGCAUCCUCUCGAGUCAACCAUGUGCUUACUCUACUAUGGGAAAAUAUUGAUAUGUUUAUUGUUACCCUCUGGACAGCAGAUCAUCAGUAUAGCUCGUAGGCAAGGUUAUGUAAUCUUAUUUAGUCUAACCUACUAUGGCGAGUUUUAAAUGAAUUGGUAUGAAUUUAAAAGCAGCUGUGAACCAGAAGACUGUAGCCAAGACAACACUGGUCCACACCCGCCAUGUCUGUUGGGUAGUACUGUAUGUGCCUUUAGGUUCCUUUCUAUGUGUAGGCUAUUGUACUAGUCUGUGUGGUACAGUCUUUCAUAUGUGUUGUAGUUUGUCUCAACUUUGAAUUCAAUCUAAGCCUUAGAUUGUUAACUUCCUCCAUGUUGUACUUAAAGACAUUCAAGCAGCUCUUUGUUGAGCAAGUUUCCAAUGGUCCCAGUACUGGUUGAUGUGCAGGGCUAAGUGACCACACACGCUCAAAUGGACCUACAGCUGGGGUAAGAUUCUUCCAUCAUUCACACACAGUAGACAUAGUGUAAACUACCAUGUUGUCAACAAAAUGCUGUCCUCAAUGCUUAAGCAGUCAACUUCUGUUAGAUUACUUGAAGGAUUUAGCUAUGUACUACCAUUUUUCAACAACAAUUUCCAUCUAGCUAGUUGGUCAUAUACAUGUUACUAACUAUACAUGUAGUUAUACAGUAUGUCUGUCAUAUUGAGGUAUCUUGCUAUAAGUAAACCCUGAUCAAUCAAAUGGAUAGGUGUAAGCAAUUAUCGUAAUUCCAACUGCCCUUAACUAGGUGUCUUUGCUAGACACAGGGAGGGGGGAGAGAAAGAAAGGAUGAGAGUGAGAGAGAGGUGGGAAGUAAGUGGAAGACUGACAGAGAGAGAUGGAGACAGAGAGAAAGACAGCAGUGCAAAUUUACUUGGACUUGAGUAUUUCAACAACUCUUCUCUUCCAAUUUGUUAGGCAAUAACAUGUACCUACAGUGAAUGGCCAGCCACACAGGAGGGUGAUUUUCAUGAAGUAAAGGGAGGCCGUUCUGACCCGAGAUGCAUGCUGGCCAUUUCGGAGUGAAACGCAUGUUUGCCAAAAAUCAACCUAUGCUUCUUCUGCCAAUGAUGUGGACAGCUGGGCAACAGAGUUCAAUAUUAUAGAAUCUGUCUAUGCCACCUACAAGGUGAUGAUGGCCAUCAUCAUCCUCCAGGUUUGGAUGAACCAACCAACCAGACCGCCAUGGGAAGAGGAAUUUGUUCUUAAGGACCAUUGACUGUCCGAGCCACCCAGGAGGUAUCCCAUCCACCAGAACCAGCGGGUUCGGGUCAGUCUGAUUCUCUGUGCUCUGAGUUGGAGGGGGACCAGCUUCAGGUAGGCUAUACCUUCAAAAACUGUUGAAAAGUUCAUAUCUCCUAUUUAUGACACUGCACUAAUCCAUCAAAUCUUCUCAGGUAAAGUGUAACCUGUGUGUUUUCUUGUUUAUGUCGCGAUCACCUACCCUGUUCCCUUUAACUCUACUCCUGUUAUCCGGGACCUAGGGGUUCUGCCCAACACCCAGACGUGGUGUUCGUCUGGGUGGAUCCCAGACGAACUUGGGAUCCACCCGAGUUCAUCCAUUACCAACCACCCUCCAAAUUUUCAUGACAUCAUCUACAGCUACUGUUAUUGUCUUGUUGUUAUUAUCUGCUAAUAAAGUUCUUGCUCUAUCAUACUGGGCACAUAAUGUGAGAUACACAGAAUAAUUAAAACACUAGCACUGCAAACACUCGGAACAAAGUGGGCAGCAGUGCCUAGACUUUGCAGUAUCCCUCUUCAAGUCCCCUUUCCGUGACUGGCUGCCUGUUGAGAACAAGUGACAGUCAGAACCUCCCACCCCCACAGCACCCACCUCCUCUCUAUUCAACUCACCAGAAUUCAGUAUAUGUUUGCCAUGUGAGUGUACAACAACAACAAAUCUGUGAAAAUAAAUGAAUGACACAACUAUACCCUAAAAAAGGUCAAAGUUUAUAUUUAAAUCUUAAAUAUUGCCAGGCUGGUUUUCACAGCUGUUUCACAAGGUGUUGAUUACUGUAAUUUGUAAGGUAUCCCUUGAUGGUAUUUGUUAGUUGUUAGAGGAAAUUAUGGUUGAAAUGACUAAAUAUGUAUACAUUCCAAUCAGAACUGACUAGUCCAAAUGCUAUAAUGUACUGUACAUAUGAAUUUUCUCUCUUGCUCCCAUUCCCAAUUGUAUAUAAUGUAGUCAGGAGUUUAGUAACAAUGAAGGUCUGUUCCUUAGUUCAUUCAGUACAAUCUCCAGGUGGCAGGAACGGCCGAUCUCCAGACUGUCUAGAAUGCUGAUCUAUACUGACUGACCUUGACUUCGUGCUGAUAACGCGAAGGCUCGAGAGCUAGAGAGCCCUUCUACUGGUGAAAUAGAUAGAACGUUUAGAAAACGCUGAUGUCAUUUUCAGUUUAUAACCUGUGGAAAUAUGUGUAUGUGGCAGUACUCUCUUGAAUUAAACGCUGUUACCUUGGCUUUUAA